This 526-nucleotide long non-coding RNA is filed under the name Androctonus crassicauda. The record is from RNAcentral. Lineage: Eukaryota; Metazoa; Arthropoda; Arachnida; Scorpiones; Buthidae.
AUUGCCAGAUUUAGAUCACAAUUAACAAAUUUACGCAUGGCUAUUGAAACUCUAGAACAAGGACGAUUGAAUUCUUAUUUCAUUCCACGCCGAACGCUUGUAGCUACAUUGAUAAAUAUAAACAAUCAUUUGCCGAGAGACGUUUCCGCUCAUUGAGCCGAUUCGGAAUGACAAUUUAUUUAAAUAUUAUCAAUGGAUAACAGUAAUUGCAGUAGCACUCCCAAAUAUAAUUCGAUUAUUUAUAAAUAUUCCACUUAUGAAUCUGGAUCAGUCCUUUGACUUAUUUGAGAUCAUAAGUUUCCCUGUGUUCUAUCCUACAAUUAACACAUUCGCAUACUAUCAAUUAGAACAUUCAUUUAUCGCUUUGUCGAAAAACCGUCAGUCAUAUAUAUUACUAAAUACAUAUGAGGUACUGAAAUGCCGUACCGGUACAGUGGCAAUAUGCUCACCAGAGACGGCUAUUUGGCAAAACCCAUAUCAAAUCUGCGAAUACGCACUAUUCAUGGGUAACGAAAGAGUAGCUGCU